GCUACUGCCAUCAGAGUUCGAUUAAGCCAUGUUAGUCGAGGGUACCUCUUCUUCUUCGGAGGAUGAGGUAACCCGGCGGACGGCUCAGUAACACGUGGAUAACUUGCCCUUGGGUCUGGGAUAACCCCUGGGAAACUGGGGCUAAUACCGGAUAGAGCAUCGAUCGCUGGAAUGCAUGAUGCUCGAAAACUACGGUGCCCAAGGAUAGGUCUGCGGCUGAUUAGGUUGUUGUUGAUGUAAUGGACCAACAAGCCUACGAUCGGUACGGGUUGUGAGAGCAAUAGCCCGGAGAUGGGUUCUGAGAAAAGAACCCAGGUCCUACGGGACGCAUCAGGCGCGAAAACUUUACAAUGUGCGAAAGCACGAUAAGGGAACUCUGAGUGCCCCCUAAGGGGGCUGUUCUAGUGUCUAAAAAGCAAUAGAAGUAAGGGCUGGGCAAGACCGGUGCCAGCCGCCGCGGUAACACCGGCAGCCCAAGUGGUAGCCACGUUUAUUGGGUCUAAAGCGUUCGUAGCCGGCUUGGUAAGUUCCUUGGUAAAUUUAGCCGCUUAACGGUUAAGCUUUCAGGGAAUACUGCUUGGCUUGGGACUGGGAGAGGUCAGAGGUACUCCAGGGGUAGGGGUGAAAUCCAUUAAUCCUUGGGGGACCACCGGUAGCGAAGGCGUCUGACCAGACCAGCUCCGACGGUGAGGGACGAAGGCUAGGGGCGCGAACCGGAUUAGAUACCCGGGUAGUCCUAGCUGUAAACGAUGCGGGCUAGGUGUUGGCAUUACUGCGAGUGGUGCCAGUGCCGAAGGGAAGCCGUUAAGCUCGCCAUCUGGGGAGUACGGUCGCAAGGCUUAAACUUAAAGGAAUUGGCGGGGGAGCACCACAACGGGUGGAGCCUGCGGUUCAAUUGGAUCAACGCCGGGA
This 912-nucleotide ribosomal RNA is filed under the name uncultured archaeon. RNAcentral describes it as "bacterial SSU rRNA". It matches the Rfam family "Archaeal small subunit ribosomal RNA", at positions 23 to 923 of the family's 1478-position model. The record is from RNAcentral.